CUUAGAGGUUAAGCCCGAUGAACCUGAAUAUCCAUUAUGAAAAAUUCAUCAUUAUAACUGUGAUAUAUUUAUAUAUUAUAGUAAUAGUGUGCUUUUUUUUCAUAUAAGGACAUUGUAAUCUAUUAACAUAAUAAAAUAUUUAUCAAAAGAUCAUUGGUGUUAAGUUUAUUCAAAUUAAUUUGCUUUAGCUUAUUAACAUAGAAUAAAUACUGAUGAUUUGAUAAAGUGUUGAUAGAUUUUAUAUAUAUAUAAUGCUAAAAUUC
This 263-nucleotide ribosomal RNA is filed under the name Munromyia sp. 09-4-7-4-4. RNAcentral's name for it is "partial 28S ribosomal RNA". Lineage: Eukaryota; Metazoa; Arthropoda; Insecta; Diptera; Tephritidae. The record is from RNAcentral.